CCAGAGCUUAACUCUGGAACUGCCAUCAAAACUUUUCAGCUAGAGUAUGAUAGAGGAAAGCAGAAUUUCUAGUGUAGAGGUGAAAUUCGUAGAUAUUAGAAAGAAUACCAAUUGCGAAGGCAGCUUUCUGGAUCAUUACUGACACUGAGGAACGAAAGCAUGGGUAGCGAAGAGGAUUAGAUACCCUCGUAGUCCAUGCCGUAAACGAUGUGUGUUAGACGUUGGAAAUUUAUUUUCAGUGUCGCAGCGAAAGCGAUAAACACACCGCCUGGGGAGUACGACCGCAAGGUUAAAACUCAAAUGAAUUGACGGGGACCCGCACAAGUAGUGGAGCAUGUGGUUUAAUUCGAAGAUACGCGCAGAACCUUACCAACACUUGACAUGUUCGUCGCGACUCUAAGAGAUUAGAGUUUUCGGUUCGGCCGGACGAAACACAGGUGCUGCAUGGCUGUCGUCAGCUCGUGUCGUGAGAUGUUGGGUUAAGUCCCGCAACGAGCGCAACCCUCACUUUUAGUUGCCAUCAUUUAGUUGGGCACUCUGAAAGAACUGCCAGUGAUAAGCUGGAGGAAGGUGGGGAUGACGUCAAGUCCUCAUGGCCCUUACGUGUUGGGCUACACACGUGCUACAAUGGCAUCUACAACAGGAAGCAAAACGGCAACGUUAAGCAAAUCCCGAAAAGAUGCCUCAGUUCGGAUUGCACUCUGCAACUCGAGUGCAUGAAGCUGGAAUUACUAGUAAUCGUGGAUCAGCGUGCCACGGUGAAUGCGUUCCCGGGUCUUGUACACACCGCCCGUCACACCAUGGGAGUUGGUUCUACCUUAAGGCAAGGUUUUAAACCCUUGACCACGGUAUAGUCAGCGACUGGGGUGAAGUCGUAACAAGGUAACCAAGGG
This 893-nucleotide ribosomal RNA is filed under the name uncultured bacterium. Its description in RNAcentral is "bacterial SSU rRNA". It matches the Rfam family "Bacterial small subunit ribosomal RNA", at positions 602 to 1506 of the family's 1533-position model. The record is from RNAcentral.